This 504-nucleotide ribosomal RNA is filed under the name uncultured bacterium. RNAcentral describes it as "bacterial SSU rRNA". It matches the Rfam family "Bacterial small subunit ribosomal RNA", at positions 28 to 521 of the family's 1533-position model. The record is from RNAcentral.
GAUGAACGCUAGCUACAGGCUUAACACAUGCAAGUCGCGGGGUAACAUUGAUCUAGCUUGCUAGAUCAGAUGACGACCGGCGCACGGGUGAGUAACGCGUAUCCAACCUGCCUUUUACCACGGGAUAGCCCCUCGAAAGAGGGAGUAAUACCGUAUGAGGUCACGUGACGACAUCAGACCGUGACGAAAGGAUUAGCGGUAAAAGAUGGGGAUGCGUCUGAUUAGGCAGUUGGCGGGGUAACGGCCCACCAAACCGACGAUCAGUAGGGGUUCUGAGAGGAAGGUCCCCCACAUUGGAACUGAGACACGGUCCAAACUCCUACGGGAGGCAGCAGUGAGGAAUAUUGGUCAAUGGUCGCAAGACUGAACCAGCCAAGUAGCGUGAGGGAAGACUGCCCUAUGGGUUGUAAACCUCUUUUAUCUGGGGAUAAAGUGAGCCACGAGUGGCUUAUUGCAGGUACCAGAAGAAUAAGGACCGGCUAAUUCCGUGCCAGCAGCCGCGGU